CCGGGGACUGCAGAGCCCGGGACUGCACCAGCCAGUCCGUCCGACUGGCACCAGCAAGAGCAUGAUUCCAGUGCCAGAGGUGAGAGACAGGAAGAGCAAGCAUGGGCUGCGAGUGAAGCCAGGCUAGCCAGAACCACCUGGGCAAUGAGAAAACAGAAGCCAACACUGCAUAGAAUUAGCUGAGGACCAGUAGCUGCUAUGAAUCCUGGGCUGGUGAGACUGGAGAGUAAGUCAGCAGCUGCCUGGGAAACAGAAGGAGUUAACAGCUAUAUUUUUAACUCGGCACCCAUGGGAGUAAAUGACAAUAUCUAACGUAUGCAUUAAUACAGGAUGAAGUAUUCUGGGAAUCAAACAAUGGCCCAUCUCUUUUGCUGAGAAACCUACUUUCAGGAUCUGUCUUCUCAGGCUGCUUGCAAGCACAUACAACUGCAACGUGCCUCUGCCUCCAAGGUACCCAUUUCCAUUUCAUGGUGGGGAGAGGCUUGUGUGGACGUGUUUCCCUUCCUGAAAGACCAGGCCCACUUUCCUCCUUGCUGGUCUGUCUUUUGAAUAGAAAAAGGAAAAAACCUGGUCCUGCCUACUCAAUUUUAUAGAGCAUGAAGAAGGGCAGCUGCUCCAACAAGAGUCCAUCCUCCUGAGUUCCAGCCAGCCAAGCAUCUUGGAGGAAGCCCUAGUUACCAAGAACACAUCCGGAGUUCUGUGUCUGAUCAGCAAGGUGCCAUUUAUUAUGACUCCUCUCGUUAUCCCUUUCCCCCA
This is a long non-coding RNA of Trichosurus vulpecula (common brushtail), 756 nucleotides long. RefSeq lists it as uncharacterized. The transcript is spliced from 4 exons. The record is from RefSeq and is a predicted model, not a curated record. NCBI's taxonomy places the organism in Eukaryota, Metazoa, Chordata, Mammalia, Diprotodontia, Phalangeridae.